Molecule: transfer RNA, 86 nt
Filed under: Gemmatimonadota bacterium
Lineage: Bacteria; Pseudomonadati; Gemmatimonadota
Description: Gemmatimonadetes bacterium (soil metagenome) tRNA-Ala
Rfam family: tRNA
About the family: Transfer RNA (tRNA) molecules are approximately 80 nucleotides in length. Their secondary structure includes four short double-helical elements and three loops (D, anti-codon, and T loops). Further hydrogen bonds mediate the characteristic L-shaped molecular structure. tRNAs have two regions of fundamental functional importance: the anti-codon, which is responsible for specific mRNA codon recognition, and the 3' end, to which the tRNAs corresponding amino acid is attached (by aminoacyl-tRNA synthetases). tRNAs cope with the degeneracy of the genetic code in two manners: having more than one tRNA (with a specific anti-codon) for a particular amino acid; and 'wobble' base-pairing, i.e. permitting non-standard base-pairing at the 3rd anti-codon position.
Source: RNAcentral
GCGCCGGUGGCGGAAUUGGUAUACGCAGCAGUUUUGCAAACUGCCGCCCUGACCGGGGAUUACGGGUUCGAAUCCCGUCCGGCGCA